AACAACUUAUUUUAUCCAUAUGGAUGAUUUAAAAAAUCCAUAUCCACCCUUGUGUGAAUUCACUGAAAAGUUUACUUCGGCAGCGUUGAAUGAGAACGCUUUUUUGUGUUUGAAAUUCAUGUUGCCGAAAGUAUUUUUAAAUUUUCAUCACUCUUCUAAAAAUUUUAUAUCUUAUUUUACGAAAUUUAAAUAUUUCAAACUAAAAUUUAAUA
Molecule: unclassified non-coding RNA, 212 nt
Filed under: uncultured Mortierellales
Lineage: Eukaryota; Fungi; Mortierellomycota; Mortierellomycetes; Mortierellales
Description: sequence contains ITS1
Source: RNAcentral